RNAcentral lists this long non-coding RNA (651 nucleotides) under Equus asinus (donkey). Its description in RNAcentral is "lncRNA (ENSEASG00005024818.1)". The record is from RNAcentral. Lineage: Eukaryota; Metazoa; Chordata; Mammalia; Perissodactyla; Equidae.
GGCCAUCACAUACUUGCCAAGGUCAAGUGUUAGUCUUAUUUGACCCAACCAGCCUAUUUCACACAGGGGCUAACGCCCAUCAGCUGGGAGUUGCUGUUUCUCACAUCUUUGGCCUAGACUAGAGGUGGCCCCAGCCUGCUAAACCUCAUCUCUCACUGAACAUAACACCAUCUCAUACACGCUAACAUUUUUCAUCAGUAUUAGUGUCACCGCAAAGUGCCAUUAAAAUAGAAGUGGUUUCAUACAUUAUUUUAUCUGCAACGUGGCCACUGAGUCAUUCUUUGCUGGAGAGCUGUCUCCUGGGCAUUUAUAAGCCGGGUAACGAAUCUGCAGUAACGAAUCUGCAGCUCGCUGGGUUCGCGUCCUCUGGUGUACGGCAGAGAGAGUGGAGGAUCUGUGAGCUGUUGGGGCUAAAACAAGUUGCAUCUGUUCUCUCGGGCCUGAGAACAUUAAUUAAGUGCCUGGUUGCAGGUACUCUUCCAUUCUCCCAACAAAAUGUAAUUGCUGGAUCCUGGGGCUAUGGAGCUGAAUAAGGAAGACACAGUUCUGAAUCCCAUGGAUGCCCAGUUGUGAGACUGUGAUUUAUAACAAAUGUAUAUUUCGUCUUCACCCUCAUUUCUGACACUGAGCUCCUAAACCCUUGGAAUUUCC